UCAAGUCCAAGCAGGGUUCCCACAUCCA
RNAcentral lists this non-coding RNA (28 nucleotides) under Rattus norvegicus (Norway rat). The record is from RNAcentral. Lineage: Eukaryota; Metazoa; Chordata; Mammalia; Rodentia; Muridae.